This 1147-nucleotide long non-coding RNA is filed under the name Ictidomys tridecemlineatus (thirteen-lined ground squirrel). RNAcentral's name for it is "lncRNA (ENSSTOG00000034862.1)". Lineage: Eukaryota; Metazoa; Chordata; Mammalia; Rodentia; Sciuridae. The record is from RNAcentral.
UUUAAGAAGGUGCAAAGGGUUUAGAUGUACCUCGCUCUGAGCCUGAGCUUCAGUAUAAAGGCCACUCUUGGCCUCAUUCCUUGCCCUCGCUGCCCUCCCCCCAAAACCUGUAGUGGCUCCCCACUGCCAGCAGAGUAAAGUCUGACCCCUCAUUGGUCUGGCAUUCAGAGCUCUUCACCACCUGGCCUCGGAUGCCCUUCUAGAAUCAUCUCUCGCUGUUCUCUUUUGCAGGCACAAAUCCCAGAAGGAGCCAUGCACAGGCCUGGGAAACAGCCUAAGCCAAGAUCAGGUUGUCGUGGCUCAGCCUUCGGGAUCCGGGAGCGAAAGGCACGUUCCAGGCCUGAGGAGCUCGUCGGCGUGGAGACGGGGAGACAGAUGAGCAGUCCCUCAGGUGCCAGCAGGGGGACACCUGCCCAGACAGAUCCCUGCCCCAGGGUCCUCAAUUCAUUGGUGCAUUGGACAAAGAUGAAAGGCCCCGACACACCGGGCCCUUCACUGGGAGCUUUUCUGCAUAGCACCAAGAGAAUCUUCUGGAAGAACAACCCUAAUGAAACCCAUAGAAUAACUAAGGAAGGAAAGAAGGGUUCUCUACUUCAGCUAAGACCACUGGAAAGGACCACCCCCAACCCUUGUGCUUAGUGAAUAAAGACGGACCACACCCUGACGUCAGGAUGCCUACAUCCUGCUCAUAGGGACAGGUAAGGGAGGGACAUUUGCACAAUCCAGGAGCUGCAUUUUUAAAUCUCGAGUGUCCACUAUGGAAAUCAGUAUUGGAGGUUCCUCAAAGGACUAGGAAUGGAGCCACCGUACGACCAGCCACACCACUCCUCAGGAUUUAUCCAGAAGAAUCAAAGUCAGCGAUUCAUGCAUUCACAGCAGCCAAGUUGUGGGACUUGCCUGUCUGUCCUUCAGGGGAUGAACGAUUCAAGAAAAUGCAAACUAAAGCUUAGCAUACCCACAUCCUAGGGCCCCAGACCCUAAGUACACACCAAGAGGAGGAAAUGCAUACAGGCACCAAAGACAUGAGUGUGUGUGCACAAUGGAGUUUCAUUCAUCCAUGGGAAAAGAAAAGAAAUCAUGUCACUUGCAAGAAAAAUGGGUGGAAUCGGAGAGCAUUAUGUUAAGUGAAAUAAGCCAGAAAGUUAUU